AUGGCCCUGUCCCAACAUCCUGAUGCUGCUCAGCUUCCCCACACAAAGCUCCUUCCUCCCACCAGCCAUCAGCCACAUCCCCUCCACUGUCCCUGUCCCCUCUCUGUCCCCAUCCCCACUCAGCUCAGGGGUUUCUCCAGGAUCUCCUGUAAUGUUUUCACUGUCCCUCAGCCCCCCCCAGUCACAAAGAGCCAACUCCUGCCAUGUCCCACCUCUGGCAGCCAGCUGUGGGAUUUGUACACAGCCAGCUGGGAAUAUCUGGGGCUUGCCAUGAGCAGUCCCAGUUCACUCCAGCAGCACAGCAAGGAGGAACAAGCCAGACGGAGGCACUGCCACAGUUCUGGGGACACAACCUGCAUCUCCGCUCACACCCUGCCUGUCCCCAGUGCUGCUCCUGCCCUCUCUGGGGACAGAGUGCCAGCUGACAGCCACGAGCUGUCCCAGCAGGCACUCUGGGAGCCAGCUGAGCCCGCGUGUGUCCCUGCAGGUGACGCUGCACACCGGGCUGCCCGUGCCCGAGUUCUACGCCUCGCGCUCGGCCAUGCCCUGAGGACGCUCCCGGAGCCGGCUGCCUCUUCUGGGAUGAGAGGAGCCAGCCAUUCCCUCCUGCAGGACGAGGCCAGCCUGCCCAGCUGCUGGGCCACCAGAUCCCUGCUGGGCCACCAGAUCCCUGCUCAGCCUCUGGCUGGAGAAGCAGAUGAGGAAGGAAGAUCCCGGCUUUCGGCCGCUCCGCUCUCCGGCCUCCGCGCUGUCCUGUGUGUGUGCGCUUUGCUCUUUAGCUCUCUUUGGCUGAUGAAGUACCUAGGUAGCCUGAGCUGUUCUCCUGUGUCUGCUUUUAGGUUUGGUUUUCCUGAUUUCAUUUGGGGUUUUUGGGGAUGGGACAGUUCCGUGUCGCUCUCCCCUCCCGCGGGGCCAGCGGAGGGACCCCAGCACGGGAACGCUUCGCCCACGCCAGCCUGGUUACUUUGCAGGAUUCUUUCUUUCCCCUGUGGCCUUUCUUGCAGAGCACCCUCGGUCAUGUGUAGAGGUGGGUCCUGGAUUACCAGUCAGUCUCCAUGUCCUGACCAGAACACCCCACUGUGUCCCCUGUCCCCCAGGAGCGUCUGUGCGGGGCAGGGGGUGGCCAUCCUGUCCCCAGGUGCUCUGGGUGCUGGCAGACCCUUGGUCGGGUGCUGA
RNAcentral lists this long non-coding RNA (1176 nucleotides) under Ficedula albicollis (Collared flycatcher). RNAcentral's name for it is "lncRNA (ENSFALG00000028893.1)". Lineage: Eukaryota; Metazoa; Chordata; Aves; Passeriformes; Muscicapidae. The record is from RNAcentral.